This 497-nucleotide ribosomal RNA is filed under the name uncultured bacterium. RNAcentral's name for it is "partial 16S ribosomal RNA". It matches the Rfam family "Bacterial small subunit ribosomal RNA", at positions 28 to 507 of the family's 1533-position model. The record is from RNAcentral.
GAUGAACGCUGGCGGCGUGCCUAAUACAUGCAAGUCGAGCGGACGGACGAGAAGCUUGCUUCUCUGUUGUUAGCCGCGGACGGGUGAGUCACACGUGUAUACCCUCCCUAUCAGUCGGGGAUCACCUCGGAAAUCCGGCGCUAAUCCCGUAUAAUCUUUUGCACCGCGUUGUUCAUAGGUAAAUGUCGGUCUUGCUGUCUCUUAUCGAUGCAUCUGGGCUGCAUUAGCUAGUUGGGGAGGUAACGGCUUACCAAGGCUACGAUGCCUAGCCGACGUGACAGGGUGAUCGGCCACACGAGAGCGGAGACACGGUCCAGGGGACUGAGGGAGGCAGCAGUAGGGAAUCUGAGGCAAUGGGCGAAAGUCUGACGGAGUAACGCGGCGUGAGUGAUGAAGGUCUUCGGAGCGGAAAACUCGGUUACGAGGGAAGAACAGAUGUGGAAGGAACUGUGGAGAGCGUGACGGUACUGAAUCAGAAAGCCACGGCUAACUACGUG